Homo sapiens (human) is the source of this 466-nucleotide long non-coding RNA. Lineage: Eukaryota; Metazoa; Chordata; Mammalia; Primates; Hominidae. The record is from Ensembl.
CCUGGUUUCACUGAUGAGGAAACUGAGGCCUAUGAGGAGAUCAGAAGUGCCCUGUGGCCACUCCAGGCUUCAACAUGGGACCGUGGCGCCAAAGCUCAGCCCAGCCACGCACAGGGCUUCUCUGCUGUAGCGAAGCCUUUGGAUUCUCCAGUGAGAAGGUUCUGUAGGCUCCUAGAAAAAGCACGGGAGACCAUGGGCAGUCAUAGUUCACAUCUGUCAUCUGGGAAAAAUUAUAAUUCUGUUCUCUUACACUCUCAAAAUCAUCACGGUUUGAUGUGAAACUGGUAAGCUCUGAGCGGGGUUGGGAGUGCAUCAAUGCGUUAUCUGGCUGUGGUAGCAGAUGAGUUAUGCAAAAUAUUUCCGCUGGGGAAAGUGGGUGAGGGCAUAUGGAAUUCUGUUUGUGUUAAUUCUUGCAACAGUGUGCAAAUCUACAAUUAUCUCAAAAUUAAAAGUUUUUAAAAAAUUA